This 1609-nucleotide ribosomal RNA is filed under the name Salmonella enterica subsp. enterica serovar Carmel. RNAcentral's name for it is "partial 23S ribosomal RNA". It matches the Rfam family "Bacterial large subunit ribosomal RNA", at positions 1211 to 2803 of the family's 2925-position model. Lineage: Bacteria; Pseudomonadati; Pseudomonadota; Gammaproteobacteria; Enterobacterales; Enterobacteriaceae. The record is from RNAcentral.
ACUCAGGUGUUGUUGGGUAGGGGAGCGUUCUGUAAGCCUGCGAAGGUGGCCUGUGAGGGUUGCUGGAGGUAUCAGAAGUGCGAAUGCUGACAUAAGUAACGAUAAAGCGGGUGAAAAGCCCGCUCGCCGGAAGACCAAGGGUUCCUGUCCAACGUUAAUCGGGGCAGGGUGAGUCGACCCCUAAGGCGAGGCCGAAAGGCGUAGUCGAUGGGAAACGGGUUAAUAUUCCCGUACUUGGUGUUACUGCGAAGGGGGGACGGAGAAGGCUAUGUUGGCCGGGCGACGGUUGUCCCGGUUUAAGCGUGUAGGUGUGUGUUCCAGGUAAAUCCGGUUCACUUUAACACUGAGGCGUGACGACGAGGCACUACGGUGCUGAAGCAACAAAUGCCCUGCUUCCAGGAAAAGCCUCUAAGCAUCAGGUAACAUCAAAUCGUACCCCAAACCGACACAGGUGGUCAGGUAGAGAAUACCAAGGCGCUUGAGAGAACUCGGGUGAAGGAACUAGGCAAAAUGGUGCCGUAACUUCGGGAGAAGGCACGCUGACAUGUAGGUGAAGUGAUUUACUCAUGGAGCUGAAGUCAGUCGAAGAUACCAGCUGGCUGCAACUGUUUAUUAAAAACACAGCACUGUGCAAACACGAAAGUGGACGUAUACGGUGUGACGCCUGCCCGGUGCCGGAAGGUUAAUUGAUGGGGUCAGCGCAAGCGAAGCUCCUGAUCGAAGCCCCGGUAAACGGCGGCCGUAACUAUAACGGUCCUAAGGUAGCGAAAUUCCUUGUCGGGUAAGUUCCGACCUGCACGAAUGGCGUAAUGAUGGCCAGGCUGUCUCCACCCGAGACUCAGUGAAAUUGAACUCGCUGUGAAGAUGCAGUGUACCCGCGGCAAGACGGAAAGACCCCGUGAACCUUUACUAUAGCUUGACACUGAACAUUGAGCCUUGAUGUGUAGGAUAGGUGGGAGGCUUUGAAGUGUGGACGCCAGUCUGCAUGGAGCCGACCUUGAAAUACCACCCUUUAAUGUUUGAUGUUCUAACGUGGACCCGUGAUCCGGGUUGCGGACAGUGUCUGGUGGGUAGUUUGACUGGGGCGGUCUCCUCCUAAAGAGUAACGGAGGAGCACGAAGGUUGGCUAAUCCUGGUCGGACAUCAGGAGGUUAGUGCAAUGGCAUAAGCCAGCUUGACUGCGAGCGUGACGGCGCGAGCAGGUGCGAAAGCAGGUCAUAGUGAUCCGGUGGUUCUGAAUGGAAGGGCCAUCGCUCAACGGAUAAAAGGUACUCCGGGGAUAACAGGCUGAUACCGCCCAAGAGUUCAUAUCGACGGCGGUGUUUGGCACCUCGAUGUCGGCUCAUCACAUCCUGGGGCUGAAGUAGGUCCCAAGGGUAUGGCUGUUCGCCAUUUAAAGUGGUACGCGAGCUGGGUUUAGAACGUCGUGAGACAGUUCGGUCCCUAUCUGCCGUGGGCGCUGGAGAACUGAGGGGGGCUGCUCCUAGUACGAGAGGACCGGAGUGGACGCAUCACUGGUGUUCGGGUUGUCAUGCCAAUGGCACUGCCCGGUAGCUAAAUGCGGAAGAGAUAAGUGCUGAAAGCAUCUAAGCACGAAACUUGCCCCGAG